RNAcentral lists this long non-coding RNA (571 nucleotides) under Equus asinus (donkey). RNAcentral's name for it is "lncRNA (ENSEASG00005027647.1)". Lineage: Eukaryota; Metazoa; Chordata; Mammalia; Perissodactyla; Equidae. The record is from RNAcentral.
GCCGUGUCCGAGCCCAGGAUCCGAACCUUCCAAGCCCCGGGCCGCUGAAGCGGAGCGUGCAAACUCAACCGCUCGGCCACGGGGUCAGCCCCUUCCUUCCUUCCUUCCUUCCUUCCUUCCUUCCUUCCUUCCUUCCUUCCUUCCUAAGGAGGAGGAGGCAGGCACUGUGUGAAGUCGCCAGUGAGUCUGUGGAAAGAGACGGAGGAUUUCCCAUGGGAAGCCGGGGCGGGGGACACGGACCGAUGUCGUGCGAACUUGAAGGAAAACCACACACGGGUACAGCCUAGGCCGGAUCUCAGGCCAAGUCGUCAGGGUGGCAAGAUGAUGGCGGAUGAGAGGAAACUUGUUCUGGGACCGCACCGCCCCCCCCCAUCGCCUCUCUGGCUGAGAAGAGGGCUGGGGAGCGGCCCGAGUCUGAGCUACGACAGAUUCCCCUGUGGCUCAACCCGCAACCUCCCAUCCUGCCAGACCAGACCCCUUGUCUAAAAACCUCCACUGGAGGAGCUCUUCCACCUGACUCGGAAAGGAAACACCAGCCCCGCCUCAGCCUCACACCCACCACCACCACCAC